This is a long non-coding RNA of Trematomus bernacchii (emerald rockcod), 366 nucleotides long. RefSeq lists it as uncharacterized. The transcript is spliced from 2 exons. The record is from RefSeq and is a predicted model, not a curated record. NCBI's taxonomy places the organism in Eukaryota, Metazoa, Chordata, Actinopteri, Perciformes, Nototheniidae.
ACCAACACAUGGGACACAUUUUGUGGGAUUUAAGCGCUUCUAUCUUGUUCUGCAGGAUGCUGCUGCUCAUCUACCUCCAUGCUGAUUCCUGCAAAAUCCAGAGGGAGCCAGCUUCUUUAUUUCCAGCUGAAAGGCCCUGAUGACUGCGAGGGGUCUGCUUCACACCGGGUCAGGACGUACUGACCGACCGCUGCUCUCCAAACUGGACCUGUUGUUCAGCGGGUGGCUGACAGCAUCACUGGGUCUUGCUCCUGCUGAUAAUAGAAAUAAAUUAAUGGCAAAUACAUGUUCCAUUAACUUCGAAACAAUAUUUCCUGCCUUUUCUUUACAGACGUCGGUAAUAAAUGGCUCAUUUUUAAACUUCAA